This 253-nucleotide ribosomal RNA is filed under the name uncultured bacterium. RNAcentral's name for it is "partial 16S ribosomal RNA". It matches the Rfam family "Bacterial small subunit ribosomal RNA", at positions 524 to 776 of the family's 1533-position model. The record is from RNAcentral.
UACGGGGGGGGCAAGCGUUGUUCGGAAUUACUGGGCGUAAAGGGCGCGUAGGCGGCCUGCUAAGUCGGACGUGAAAUCCCUCGGCUCAACCGGGGAACUGCGUCCGAUACUGGUGGGCUCGAAUCCGGGAGAGGGAUGUGGAAUUCCAGGUGUAGCGGUGAAAUGCGUAGAUAUCUGGAGGAACACCGGAGGCGAAGGCGGCUUGCUGGGCUCGGUCUGACGCUGAGGCGCGAAAGCGUGGGGAGCGAACAGG